CCUCCGAACUGCUGAGAAAUAUUGCAAAAAUGACUUCAGCUGCCAAAAAUAAUGUCGUUUACAAGCAGCUCUUCCUAUGUCUAAGGAAGAACUAGUCACACAUGCGAGUUUUUGCUGGCUUGAGAACAAGCAAGGAAAAAGACAAAUCCCACCUACCCUAGCCUAAAAUACACAGUGAGUCUCAGAACCCCGCGGAAGCUGUGGCUCAUUUCUAAAGGUGCUGGCAAUAUCGAGGAAGACUUGUAUCCACAAAAUUCCAAAUGGAAAAGAGAGAAAAGAGAACAACAAACAGAUGUGUGAAAAAAAGACACGAAGUACAAAACGGAUGUAUUAAUGGCAAAUAGAGUAAACUUGAAGCCUGAAAUUGCAGCACUCAUUUGGUGACCAGGAGUGGGCAAACAGAAGGACAAAGGCCUACAAGAUUAAAUAAUCAAGUCAUUAUUGUGAAUUUGGAUCUAAAUGACCUGGCAGAAACCAUGGAGAUGAUCUUGGAUUUAAAGAGGAAAAACUCAAAGCAAUGUAUUCUGAUCAAGAAAUGGCAGGAAAUGGCAGCUACCUGAUAUGGAACAAUCAACAACUGAAGGUUUAUUUUGAAUGAGAGGUGUUGUCCAACUGCGAGACGGAGUGAUUGAAGCUGAGAAUAAAUGGAAACACAAUCAAUAGUCACUCCAGUGAGGUAGGAAAGAAAGCCAUUCCGAAGUGGCAGAGAAGCUGCUUUUUCCUCCUGCAUGCUGCCUGCUAGUGUGGAUCUUGGCAUAACAGACACUACUUGGCAAAAGAUCCAUCCUUCCUUUUCCUAUACUUUGCUCAGCGGCCUGGAAGAUUGACCUCAAAAGCAAAAUCACCUGGAUUUCCUUGCCAUUUGGCUUUCAAAUGUGCUCAGCCAAUGACAGGCUGGAAAGAAAUUGACAGCUGGGAAAAGAGGAAGAUUUGUGUACAAGAUCCCUUCCACUCCCAUCUCAUUACCUGCCAUGGUCCUAGCAGUGGCUGUUCUUAUUAUGGCCACAACUACUCUUGGACAGGCCAACAUCCACAACUCCAUCCUUCAACUAGGCUUCAUUAACACUGUCCCUCACCCUUAUCUCUUUCUGGGUAGGGGUGAUAAAGGUUUCCUGACAUCAGAGUUCCUGAGUGCCUCAUAUAUUCUUGUUGGUCCCUGAACCUUGCCCCAACAUCAAUAAAAAGUUCCUUCAUUAAAUAAUUUUCAGUUGAAUCUUUCGUGCUGGGAUCUGUCCAAUUCGACUUUAGCAUACUUUUCGUGCCAAGAAAGUGAUAGUUUCUUGCCAGGAUUUGGCUCAAAGGGCUCACAGUGGGUGAGGGGAUGAGAUUACUUAUUAAGUGAUAAAAUGGAGAUCACAGUGGUUAACCUGCCUAAGAUCACAUGGUUGGUCAACUCAUGGUCG
This 1403-nucleotide long non-coding RNA is filed under the name Homo sapiens (human). Its description in RNAcentral is "HSALNT0301922". The record is from RNAcentral. Lineage: Eukaryota; Metazoa; Chordata; Mammalia; Primates; Hominidae.